Molecule: long non-coding RNA, 1730 nt
Organism: Lolium perenne
Lineage: Eukaryota; Viridiplantae; Streptophyta; Magnoliopsida; Poales; Poaceae
Source: RefSeq, a predicted model, not a curated record
CCGUCGGUGUGGGGUUGGGGGGUCUGGUCGACCGCGUUCUCGAUUCCUGGUGGAGUUUCUUCUCUGGCUGCCGCUAGGUCUCCUCUCGGAUCCGGCAGAUCCUCUCCCUCCGCUGGCUGGUCUUGCCGGCUGCGGCGGCUUUGCUCUCCAAUCUGGCCGCUGCUCUCUCUUCAUCGGCGAUCUGGGUCUGGAGGGGCUGUUUCUUUGGCGGGAUUUCUUCGCCUAUUCGUUUGGCCGGAGUGGCCUGCUGGUUUACCCGAGGCACCUUCAUUCUUCUUGAUUUUUUCCUCUUUCUUUUUCGGAUGGCUCUGCGUUGAUGGUCUAUAUGUGUGCUGCUCUUUGUUCUUUGUACCUAUAUAAGAAAUGGCCGUGUUCUAAUCGAUUGUUGUUGUGGAGUCGGCAUACUGCUCUCGGAGGCGGCAGCGUCGGGAUCCGUUUCUUCGGCAUGCUUCACAGUUGGGGGGGUUGAAUCCGGGCGGUGCUGGUGGUGGGUUGCUGGUUACUGCUCUUCCUCUUCACUGUUCUCUUUUUUGUUCUAAGAUGGUGGUUCUUCUGUUGCCAACACACACAAACGCCUCAGCAGCACCUACUUCAUAAGUUGUUGUUCAUGACGAACUUGUGCCGUUGCAUCUAGGCAUGCACCGGCAGAGGCAAAUGGUGUAGAGGACCAGGGCUCAUCAAGCAACAAGAAUGCACGGUCGGGGCAUGUGCUAACACAGCUUAUUCACGUCACGACGAAGUUCCAGACCGGCGACAUUCACCUCUACAGGAUGGAUCCCGUGCCUCUGAUCAUGUUGCUGAUCGCGCCCGACACACGGUCUUCUUCGUGGCAGGGGCCAUGUAUUCAUGGUUCCUAGACCUGCCAUCAAGUUUGGGCAUACACACGAUUUGGAAAGAAAGAACUUAGGAUUCUACUGAGGUUCUGUGCAACACAUUUAGCUUGGCAACAUGUGAGAAAAUUGCAUGACUGAAUUUGAAACAUUUGUCAAAGGUUCCGAAAUCUGCUAUUGCAUGGCCAUGGCUGCUAAAAAAAAGUGACAAGAUCAGUAGAACAUGGACUCCUUUGAAGAAUGUAAACCCGAAUUCAUGUGGACAUCAAGUGCAGCAGCAGGAAUUCGCCUUGGUUCAACAAUAGUUGUUGACUGCAUCUAAUCACCAUCUCUUGCAGGUCGAUCAUACAGGCUGAUUAUCCUUCAGCACAUUUGCGCCGUCCUUCAGUUGCCCAUCAAUUCCAUCCAUACCAUCCGCCAUAGCAAUGGCCCUUCGAGGGUUAUAUCGGCAUAGGGAUACUGUCGGAUGGUGUCAACUCCUAGACAUCAGCCGUCCCAAGGUUCUGCCAUGGCGACCACAUGCCCACCGAGUUUGCCGCUGUGGAGUGUGCAUGGGAGAGCACACACAAGACGGUCAAAGUUGAGAAUCAUUCCCCAAACAACAGGCGGAUCAGCUCUAUGCAGCAUCGUUGACUUACCAGCCACCCCACCAGGGCGUGGCAAGAAAAGGCGCAGCGUCAGUCCAACUGUCUACAAAUAGUUAGAGGGAGGCUGCCUAGAAUUACUAAUUAGAAAUAGAAAGAAAAAUAAAAUACUUUCUCUGAUCCAAAUUAACUGGCGCAGCUAUAUACUAUGUAUUAUCAGCUCCCAUUACACAAAUUAAGUAAUUCUUUUUUUUUUGCCCAAUACAAUUGAGUGGUGAACUAAUAUUAGGUGUUUAUUUGCAUGUGAGUUCUUGAA